This 504-nucleotide ribosomal RNA is filed under the name Weissella confusa. RNAcentral describes it as "bacterial SSU rRNA". It matches the Rfam family "Bacterial small subunit ribosomal RNA", at positions 56 to 516 of the family's 1533-position model. Lineage: Bacteria; Bacillati; Bacillota; Bacilli; Lactobacillales; Lactobacillaceae. The record is from RNAcentral.
UGCAGUCGACGCUUUGUGGUUCAACUGAUUUGAAGAGCUUGCUCAGAUAUGACGAUGGACAUUGCAAAGAGUGGCGAACGGGUGAGUAACACGUGGGAAACCUACCUCUUAGCAGGGGAUAACAUUUGGAAACAGAUGCUAAUACCGUAUAACAAUGACAACCGCAUGGUUGUUAUUUAAAAGAUGGUUCUGCUAUCACUAAGAGAUGGUCCCGCGGUGCAUUAGCUAGUUGGUAAGGUAAUGGCUUACCAAGGCGAUGAUGCAUAGCCGAGUUGAGAGACUGAUCGGCCACAAUGGGACUGAGACACGGCCCAUACUCCUACGGGAGGCAGCAGUAGGGAAUCUUCCACAAUGGGCGAAAGCCUGAUGGAGCAACGCCGCGUGUGUGAUGAAGGGUUUCGGCUCGUAAAACACUGUUGUAAGAGAAGAAUGACAUUGAGAGUAACUGUUCAAUGUGUGACGGUAUCUUACCAGAAAGGAACGGCUAAAUACGUGCCAGCAGNC